AGUGAACGCUGGCGGUAGGCCUAACACAUGCAAGUCGAACGGCAGCACAGAGGAGCUUGCUCCUUGGGUGGCGAGUGGCGGAAGGGUGAGGAAUACAUCGGAAUCUACUCUGUCGCGGGGGAUAACGUAGGGAAACUUACGCUAAUACCGCAUACGACCUACGGGUGAAAGAAGGGUACCUUCGGGCCUUGCGCGAUUGAAUGAGCCGAUUUCGGAUUAGCUAGUUGGCGGGGUAAAGGCCCACCAAGGCGACGAUCCGUAGCUGGUCUGAGAGGAUGAUCAGCCACACUGGAACUGAGACACGGUCCAGACUCCUACGGGAGGCAGCAGUGGGGAAUAUUGGACAAUGGGCGCAAGCCUGAUCCAGCCAUACCGCGUGGGUGAAGAAGGCCUUCGGGUUGUAAAGCCCUUUUGUUGGGAAAGAAAUCCAGCCGGCUAAUACCUGGUUGGGAUGACGGUACCCAAAGAAUAAGCACCGGCUAACUUCGUGCCAGCCGCCGCGGUAA
This 506-nucleotide ribosomal RNA is filed under the name uncultured bacterium. RNAcentral's name for it is "partial 16S ribosomal RNA". It matches the Rfam family "Bacterial small subunit ribosomal RNA", at positions 29 to 523 of the family's 1533-position model. The record is from RNAcentral.